CCCCUAGACGUUCUGGGCUGCACGCGCGCUACAAUAAUACGCACAGCGAGUAUCACCGAGCUCGAAAGGGCAAGGUAAACAAUAGAAAAGGUACUGUAAUGGUUAUAGAUCCUUGUAAUUAUUGAUCUUCAACGAGGAAUUCCUAGUAAGUAUGUGUCAUCAUCACGCACUGAUUACGUCCCUGCCCUUUGUACACACCGCCCGUCGCUCCUACCGAUUGGGUGAGCCGAUGAAACUCUCGGAUGUAGGCUAUUCAUAGCCCGCAGAAGAGAUUUGAAUCGUAGCGCUGAGAGGAAGGAGAAGUCGUAACA
This 311-nucleotide ribosomal RNA is filed under the name uncultured eukaryote. RNAcentral's name for it is "partial 18S ribosomal RNA". It matches the Rfam family "Eukaryotic small subunit ribosomal RNA", at positions 1470 to 1796 of the family's 1831-position model. The record is from RNAcentral.